UGAGUAACCUGCCCUUCACUCUGGGAUAACUCCGGGAAACCGGGGCUAAUACUGGAUAUGACUCGAACAGGUAUCUGUUUCGGGUGGAAAGAUUUAUUGGUGGAGGAUGGACUCGCGGCCUAUCAGCUUGUUGGUGAGGUAAUGGCUCACCAAGGCGACGACGGGUAGCCGGCCUGAGAGGGCGAUCGGCCACACUGGGACUGAGACACGGCCCAGACUCCUACGGGAGCA
This 231-nucleotide ribosomal RNA is filed under the name uncultured bacterium. RNAcentral's name for it is "partial 16S ribosomal RNA". It matches the Rfam family "Bacterial small subunit ribosomal RNA", at positions 118 to 347 of the family's 1533-position model. The record is from RNAcentral.